Non-coding RNA from Lenzites betulinus, 95 nucleotides. Lineage: Eukaryota; Fungi; Basidiomycota; Agaricomycetes; Polyporales; Polyporaceae. The record is from the annotation of a GenBank genome assembly.
GGUGGCGUGGCCGAGUUGGUCUAAGGCGUCGGAUUUAAGCUUUCUUGAUUCCCGAUGGGAGCAAUCCCGCGCGAGUUCGAACCUCGCCGCCACCA